AGUGGAGUCAGCUAAAAAAGCUAUCGGGCCCAUACCCCGAAAAUGACGGUUUAACCCCAUCCCCCACUA
RNAcentral lists this transfer RNA (69 nucleotides) under Glaucidium brasilianum (ferruginous pygmy-owl). RNAcentral's name for it is "tRNA-Met". It matches the Rfam family "tRNA". Rfam says of the family: Transfer RNA (tRNA) molecules are approximately 80 nucleotides in length. Their secondary structure includes four short double-helical elements and three loops (D, anti-codon, and T loops). Lineage: Eukaryota; Metazoa; Chordata; Aves; Strigiformes; Strigidae. The record is from RNAcentral.